GUUCCGACCUGCACGAAUGGCGUAACGACUUCCCCACUGUCUCCAGGAUAUGCUCAGCGAAAUUGAAUUCUCCGUGAAGAUGCGGAGUACCCGCGGUUAGACGGAAAGACCCCGUGCACCUUUACUGCAGCUUCAGAGUGGCAUUAGGAAAGAAUUGUGUAGCAUAGGUGGGAGGCUUUGAAGCACUGGCGCCAGCCGGUGUGGAGCCAUAGGUGAAAUACCACCCUGUUGUUUUCUGAUGUCUAACCCAGCACCGUCAUCCGGUGCGGGGACCCUCUGUGGCGGGU
This 287-nucleotide ribosomal RNA is filed under the name Bacillus toyonensis. RNAcentral's name for it is "partial 23S ribosomal RNA". It matches the Rfam family "Bacterial large subunit ribosomal RNA", at positions 1980 to 2266 of the family's 2925-position model. The record is from RNAcentral. Lineage: Bacteria; Bacillati; Bacillota; Bacilli; Caryophanales; Bacillaceae.